Molecule: long non-coding RNA, 536 nt
Organism: Canis lupus familiaris (dog)
Lineage: Eukaryota; Metazoa; Chordata; Mammalia; Carnivora; Canidae
Exons: 3
Source: RefSeq, a predicted model, not a curated record
GUUAUUCUGAAGUCGUUGAAUACUUACGCUACUUUAGCAGGCAUGUAAAGAAGCAGGGGAAUAACGGGAGAUUCCUCAUUGCCAUAGAUAAUGAAUCCCAUUUCAUUCAGUCUCUGUCUGAAGUAUCUCGUGUUUUUUGCCAGCUGCCGUACUCUCUGCAACCCUGAAAGGAGACAGGCAUGAAAUCCAUCAAUUCUCACAAGGAAGAGAGAAGCAAAGAAUCUUUCAGAUCUGCUGAAGAAGAAGUGCACGAAUGAAGUCAUCCUUAAGCUACAUGUUUGUCAUCAUAUGGAAGAAACAUGCUUGAGAAUGAUAUUGACUCAAAGCCAAGGUACAAGACAAUAAGAAUCCUGAUGGCAUCACUGGAACCUUAGGCCUAGCCAUGCCUAAGUUUGCUUUCCAGAGGGUGAAAAACAAAACAAAACAAAACAAAACAAAAGGAAAAUGAUCGAGGUUCAUAAGUUAAUGAAGUUCCUUGAAAGAUCUUGCCAUUUCAACCCACUCUUCCUCUCAAUAACUGAAUAAAAAAAAUCUUU